CAGUAGCCGCGGUAAUACGUAGGGUGCGAGCGUUAAUCGGAAUUACUGGGCGUAAAGCGUGCGCAGUCGGUUGUGUAAGACAGGUGUGAAAUCCCCGGGCUUAACCUGGGAACUGCGCUUGUGACUGCACAGCUAGAGUAUGGCAGAGGGGGGCGGAAUUCCACGUGUAGCAGUGAAAUGCGUAGAGAUGUGGAGGAACACCGAUGGCGAAGGCAGCCCCCUGGGCCAAUACUGACGCUCAUGCACGAAAGCGUGGGGAGCGAACAGGAUUAGAUACCCGAGUAGUCCCUGUCUCUUAUAA
RNAcentral lists this ribosomal RNA (301 nucleotides) under uncultured bacterium. RNAcentral's name for it is "partial 16S ribosomal RNA". It matches the Rfam family "Bacterial small subunit ribosomal RNA", at positions 509 to 809 of the family's 1533-position model. The record is from RNAcentral.